GAUGAAGAACGUAGCGAAAUGCGAUAAGUAAUGUGAAUUGCAGAAUUCAGUGAAUCAUCGAAUCUUUGAACGCACAUUGCGCCCGCCAGUAUUCUGGCGGGCAUGCCUGUUCGAGCGUCAUUUCAACCAUCAAGCCCCCGGCUUGUGUUGGGGACCUGCGGCUGCCGCAGGCCCUGAAAACCAGUGGCGGGCUCGCUGUCACACCGAGCGUAGUAGAUUUCAUCUCGCUCAGGGCGUGCUGCGGGUUCCGGCCGUUAAACCACCUUCAUAACCCAAGGUUGACCUCGGAUCAGGUAGGAAGACCCGCUGAACUUAAGCAUAUCAAUAAGCGGAGGA
Molecule: unclassified non-coding RNA, 336 nt
Filed under: soil metagenome
Description: partial contains 5.8S ribosomal RNA, internal transcribed spacer 2, and large subunit ribosomal RNA
Rfam family: 5.8S ribosomal RNA (bases 1-120)
Source: RNAcentral